Monopterus albus (swamp eel) is the source of this 326-nucleotide long non-coding RNA. RefSeq lists it as uncharacterized. The record is from RefSeq and is a predicted model, not a curated record. The transcript has 3 exons. Lineage: Eukaryota; Metazoa; Chordata; Actinopteri; Synbranchiformes; Synbranchidae.
ACUGUUUUUUUUAUUUGAUUUGAUUUGAUUUAUUCCUAGGUAGGUUUUCUGUGUAUGGAUUAUCUGACUUUCCUCUCUGACAUCUCGUUGUGAAUUCCUCGGCUGUAUGUGGCAAAUGUAGACGGUUGCACCUGGGGUGCAGGGUUUGUGGGCCCCAACUGACAAAGUACUUCCUUGACCCACACUUCUUCUGGCCUUUGGGUUUGCGAAGUGUUCAUGCACACAGUGCAGAGAAUCUCAUCAUCAGAAGUGUCAGAAUCUCUUGGUGACUGAGCCUCAGGGGAUAAAGGAACGGAAGCCGUGCUCCAGACCAAAGACAAAACGGA